RNAcentral lists this unclassified non-coding RNA (1332 nucleotides) under Melitaea cinxia (Glanville fritillary). Its description in RNAcentral is "misc RNA ENSMCXG00005008010.1". Lineage: Eukaryota; Metazoa; Arthropoda; Insecta; Lepidoptera; Nymphalidae. The record is from RNAcentral.
UUUUUUUUUUUUUUUUUUUUUUUUUUUUUUUUUUUUUUAUGAUAAGCAAUAUAUUUUAAAAAAACCAUCAGAUCAGACAAUGCAGAUUACAUGCAAAUAUGUACAUUCAAACACUGUAUUUAACGAUUACAUUAUUUAGACGAAAACUCAGUAACUUAAAUAAAUACGGCAGUUCUUUUAUUAUAAAAAAGGAACUUAAUUUUAUAUGCAAAGAAAUCUAAGUAAGUAGGUAUGAUAUUUGCUUAUUAAUGGCUAAAAGUUUAAAAUACAAUCACUAUAAGUCAUUUGUGUUCAGUUUCACUGAAUAUUUAAAAUUUAAUAUGGUCCAUUUACACAGUCAUUUUAAUAUCACAUAAAAUCAUGCAUUAUUUAACAAAAAAAAAAUACUUUACCAUACGUAAUACAGUAAUCGGGACGAGCCCAUGUUCAAUAGGUAGCUAAUAUUAAUAUUAUAUCUAACAUAUAAGUAUUAAAUAACUAUAUUGUAAAAGUUUAACGCAGGUAUACAUCUUGAAGUUAAAAUGUAGAGCAGAGAAUAGUAAACUCAGUUCUGAAACCAACAUACAUGUAUUUAGUAAUAAGUUAAAAAAAUUGCAAAUUUUAGUAAAAUACUUUCAAUUUGCUCGCGUCUUUGAUAUUUCUAUUAAUACGGCGUCCACACUUAAAAAAUUAAAUAAUAAGGUACUUCUUUUCAUUUAAAAUAAAUAACUCCGUAACUUAUAGUUAUAGUUAACAAAUCACAGAUACCCAUCGCGAACUGCCAGAACUACUGGGCAAACGGUAUUAGCUUUUCGUAAUAGCCUAAUAGACGUUACCGGUAUUCCAACUUAAGCUAAUCGCAGUCUUAAACAUUCAUCAUACAGCCCCGUUACAACCUCUCUCCUAACAACCCUUUAAUACUCGAAGGUGAACAUAAUACUAAACAAACAUGCAACCGUCAAAGCGAAUCUAAUGGAUGACGACUAUAUUGCUAUUGCAUUGGGAUGUUCAAACGUUAAGGUUCCAGUCCCAUCCUCGGUUAACACAUUCAAACGUACUCAACUGGUAUGCUCUACCGCGUACAUAUCACAGAUGGUGUUCAGGAAGAAAACACAAGCUUUCACUUCAAUGUCACACACGCUGCAGCUAUUAACCUCGGAUGUUCACCUUAGGACGAAUUGCAGUAGAAUGAAGAAUCUGUGAAAACACACCCUGAAUAUAAGGAAAAUAAUGGCGCUACUGUAGCAGCGGCCACUAGGGAAAACAUUCGACACUAAAAACAUUUAUGAUUUCAAUUAUAUUUGUCACUGCUAUAAUAUAUAUACAAGUAACAAUUUUUUUCAAAUAUUUCCG